This 514-nucleotide ribosomal RNA is filed under the name uncultured bacterium. RNAcentral describes it as "partial 16S ribosomal RNA". It matches the Rfam family "Bacterial small subunit ribosomal RNA", at positions 28 to 523 of the family's 1533-position model. The record is from RNAcentral.
GACGAACGCUGGCGGCGUGCCUAACACAUGCAAGUCGAACGGAGAUAUCCUUCGGGGUAUCUUAGUGGCGAACGGGUGAGUAACGCGUGGGUAACCUGCCCUUUUAUCGGGGAUAACUUGCCGAAAGGUGAGCUAAUACCGGAUGUCCUAUUUUGAUCACCUGAUUAAGAUAGCAAAGGUGGCCUCUUUAAAUGCUACCGUAAAAGGAUGGACCCGCGUCUGAUUAGCUAGUUGGUGAGGUAACGGCUCACCAAGGCGACGAUCAGUAGCCGGCCUGAGAGGGUGAACGGCCACACUGGGACUGAGACACGGCCCAGACUCCUACGGGAGGCAGCCGUGGGGAAUCUUCCGCAAUGGACGAAAGUCUGACGGAGCAACGCCGCGUGAGUGAUGAAGGUCUUCGGAUUGUAAAACUCUGUUUUUUGGGACGAACGGCUCAUAUGUGAACAAUGUAUGAGAUUGACGGUACCAAGGGAGGAAGCCCCGGCUAACUACGUGCCAGCAGCCGCCGUAA